RNAcentral lists this ribosomal RNA (535 nucleotides) under uncultured Mycobacterium sp. Its description in RNAcentral is "bacterial SSU rRNA". It matches the Rfam family "Bacterial small subunit ribosomal RNA", at positions 54 to 606 of the family's 1533-position model. Lineage: Bacteria; Bacillati; Actinomycetota; Actinomycetes; Mycobacteriales; Mycobacteriaceae. The record is from RNAcentral.
CAUGCAAGUCGAACGGAAAGGCCCUUCGGGGUACUCGAGUGGCGAACGGGUGAGUAACACGUGGGUGAUCUGCCCUGCACUUUGGGAUAAGCCUGGGAAACUGGGUCUAAUACCGGAUAGGACUACGCGAUGCAUGUCGUGUGGUGGAAAGCUUUUGCGGUGUGGGAUGGGCCCGCGGCCUAUCAGCUUGUUGGUGAGGUUACGGCUCACCAAGGCGACGACGGGUAGCCGGCCUGAGAGGGUGACCGGCCACACUGGGACUGAGAUACGGCCCAGACUCCUACGGGAGGCAGCAGUGGGGAAUAUUGCACAAUGGGCGCAAGCCUGAUGCAGCGACGCCGCGUGAGGGAUGACGGCCUUCGGGUUGUAAACCUCUUUCAGCAGGGACGAAGCGCAAGUGACGGUACCUGUAGAAGAAGGACCGGCCAACUACGUGCCAGCAGCCGCGGUAAUACGUAGGGUCCGAGCGUUGUCCGGAAUUACUGGGCGUAAAGAGCUCGUAGGUGGUUUGUCGCGUUGUUCGUGAAAACUCACA